Molecule: long non-coding RNA, 350 nt
Organism: Micropterus salmoides (largemouth bass)
Lineage: Eukaryota; Metazoa; Chordata; Actinopteri; Centrarchiformes; Centrarchidae
Exons: 5
Source: RefSeq, a predicted model, not a curated record
UGGUCUGCAGCUGGAUGGGUGGCCUUCACACUAGCCAUGUUAGUGUUAGCUGUACUUGGAGUGCUGUACUUCAAAGAGAGAGUUUCAGGGAAGAAAGCCAAUUCAGGAAAUGACCACCCUGAUGGGAAGGAAACCAAAUCAGAAACUGACCAUGUUGAAGAGAAUCAAAAUCUUUUACCAAAAGAACAGUAAAUGUUGCACUUGACAAGAAGGAAAAUCCAUAUCUCACAAUCAAGGAUCAUAGACUGAGAGAUUCCAACCGUGAAGAUUUUCCUGAUGGACAAAAGGUUACCUGUCUCACAGCUAUCAAAGGAACACCUGGCUUCUCUUCUGGACAACACUACUGGGAG